Molecule: ribosomal RNA, 497 nt
Filed under: uncultured bacterium
Lineage: Bacteria
Description: partial 16S ribosomal RNA
Rfam family: Bacterial small subunit ribosomal RNA
Source: RNAcentral
GAUGAACGCUGGCGGCGUGCCUAAUACAUGCAAGUCGAGCGAACGGACGAGGAGCUUGCUCCUCUGAUGUUAGCGGCGGACGGGUGAGUAACACGUGGAUAACCUACCUAUAAGACUGGGAUAACUUCGGGAAACCGGAGCUAAUACCGGAUAAUAUUUUGAACCGCAUGGUUCAAAAGUGAAAGACGGUCUUGCUGUCACUUAUAGAUGGAUCCGCGCUGCAUUAGCUAGUUGGUAAGGUAACGGCUUACCAAGGCAACGAUGCGUAGCCGACCUGAGAGGGUGAUCGGCCACACUGGAACUGAGACACGGUCCAGACUCCUACGGGAGGCAGCAGUAGGGAAUCUUCCGCAAUGGGCGAAAGCUUGACGGAGCAACGCCGCGUGAGUGAUGAAGGUCUUCGGAUCGUAAAACUCUGUUAUUAGGGAAGAACAUAUGUGUAAGUAACUGUGCACAUCUUGACGGUACCUAAUCAGAAAGCCACGGCUAACUACGUG